Long non-coding RNA from Scophthalmus maximus (turbot), 1965 nucleotides. RefSeq lists it as uncharacterized. The record is from RefSeq and is a predicted model, not a curated record. The transcript is spliced from 3 exons. Lineage: Eukaryota; Metazoa; Chordata; Actinopteri; Pleuronectiformes; Scophthalmidae.
AGAACCUUGAAACAUAACACCGCACACCGUAUAGCCAUUACGGCCACAGUUUUAAUUGAUUUAAAAAAAAUUCUUUAAAAAAAACAAAACACUACACUAGAAUGUAUUCAGAAAAAGAAAAAAAAAGGAUAUACCUUCAAAAUCUAGGGAGCCGAGACUGAUGUUAUAUGCAAGUCAUGUACUACAGCUACAUUAUGUUCUUUAUGUAUGCACAUGGGUUUUGUUUUGACUGUUUUGUACCCAGCAUGGUGUAUACUGAAUAUUCACACAGCCCACGACAACAUUAAAGCUUGUCUUUCUUCUCAUGCAUAAGAAAGUGGCAGCUGAAGACGGGUCGUAGAGGCUUCUUGUUGCGGACUGACCUGGUCCAGAGGGAAGGACCCUCUGACACAACAAGACCAAACCGAACAGGGCAACAGCAAUGCAUUAUUAAUAAUUCAGUCCAUUAUUACUUGCCUGUUGUCAUCGUCUGAUGUUAUUUCUGUAUGUAGCGUUAUCUGGCAAACACAUUGAAUGUGCUUUGUCGUAGUAGAGGUGGACUAACAUUACAAAAAUAUAUGCAAUUUAAAGACCUACACCUCUAUUCUUAAGGGAAAAGAUUCAAUUUGACAUAGGAAAUGCUUAAAAGGUUAAUAUAAUCCAGUAUGAGUGACUCAACUGCAUUUUUCUAUCAUUUUUCAUUCUUUUUUAAGCACAAAUUCUACAAUUCCUAUGGUUCCAUCUCGUGAAAUGUGAAUAUUUGGUAGUUUUGUGAAUCUUCUAUAAUAAUAAACAGAAAGUCUUUGAGUUUUAUACUGUUUUGGGCGGGACAAAACAAGCAAUUUCAAGAUAUCCUGUUAGGGCCCCAUAUUGUCAGCCUACAGUGAAGAUGGAAGAUUGUCACUGGCACCAGAAUUUCAUAUUUCCUCAGCACCAACGGUUGUCAACCAACUGUAAUAUGAGGAAACAGCCAACAAGAUAUUUAAUACUCACCAGUUCCACAUCGGGAGGGAUAACCAGCCCUGGGGGAGCAACAAACGGUUCCUCGCUCUCCUCCUGCUCUGCCUCUUCUAUACAUGUGACGAGAUAUUAGGACAAAAAGGAUGAGAUAAACCAUGUUGGAUAUUUACCCAGUUGAGCAGUCAGGCAGAAAUUCAACUUCAGCAAACCCCUGGAGGGUGUGUAUCUGCAGAUGGUUGCUUGGAUUAGACAGAGCUGCUGCGUUCUCCACGAAAGACUGCAGCAGCAAAAAAAAAAACAACCAGGAGAGAAAAAAUCAAGCAGCUGAAACUUAGAUACGACACAGAUCCCACCACAAGAAAUGUGUCAGGCACAAGGGAUAUGUCAAUGACUCCAGAUUUCAUUAUUUCCUCUAUGUGCGCCCUAACAGCAGCAUUACACCACGGCUGCAAUAUGACAACUGCUGAUUUUGUUUUUUAACGAGAGAGGAGAAACUUUGUGACUCUACUGAUUACAGCAGCACAAAGUUUAUAACAACAAGCACCGAGUACAUGCCAAUAAUGAAGCUCAUUACUGUGCACAAAUGUACUGUAUGUACAUAGGCAGCAAGUGCCUUUCUGGAUGGCAGAUAUAUAGAAAAACCUCCUGGCAGGGAGCACUUUGCAAGCACACCAAAAAAAAAAAAUUUGCAAAUGCAUCUUCACCUCCACUGCUAUAACCCCAUCCUGGGAGAAACGCUGGAUUUCAUGCACACUAUGGUGUGAUUAUUUUUUGUAGAAGUCCAUUUAUGAUGUCUGGAAGCCCACAGGAAACACAUUAGUGCCACAGUGUAGGUGUGGGACAAACGAGAGACUUUGUUUGAUUUAGAAAGCAUUAUUCUGCCAGUACCUGUCCUCCGCAGAGUUAGCUCUCGCAUUAAAAGUUGUGCCUUGUAUUUGGUUUUUCAUUUAUAUCCAAUGGACUGAAAAACAAAAAAGUAUGUGACUGUGACUAACCGACUCUUCAAAGUCUGUGUGUGAUGUGAAU